UAGGGAAUCUUCGGCAAUGGGGGCAACCCUGACCGAGCAACGCCGCGUGAGUGAAGAAGGUUUUCGGAUCGUAAAGCUCUGUUGUAAGAGAAGAACGUGUGUGAGAGUGGAAAGUUCANACAGUGACGGUAACUUACCAGAAAGGGACGGCUAACUACGUGCCAG
This 165-nucleotide ribosomal RNA is filed under the name uncultured bacterium. RNAcentral describes it as "partial 16S rRNA". It matches the Rfam family "Bacterial small subunit ribosomal RNA", at positions 355 to 511 of the family's 1533-position model. The record is from RNAcentral.